RNAcentral lists this long non-coding RNA (3978 nucleotides) under Octopus sinensis (East Asian common octopus). RNAcentral's name for it is "uncharacterized LOC115212107, transcript variant X4". Lineage: Eukaryota; Metazoa; Mollusca; Cephalopoda; Octopoda; Octopodidae. The record is from RNAcentral.
GAGAUUUGCUCUGAUAUUCUCAUUUAAAUAUGAAUAGGUAAAUACGGGCGGGUUUGGGCAGUUUGGUCACAUUAACCAAAAUUUUUUUCGGGCGGCUUUGGGCGGUUUGGUAACGAAAGGGUUAAGAGGGUCAAGAAUUUGGAAAAUGUGCUUUGUUCGUUUUUCACCAGAUACUCAGAUGAUGAAAUUGGAAAGCUUCUCGAUUUGUUUGUAAGAUUAAAGAUAGCAGCUAUGCAGUUUACGCGGUAGGUCAUUAUUUCAGCACAUGAAGUUUAAGAAAAUAUGAUUUGAUCUUGUGUUUGUAGAGCGAAACUGUGAGCAUAAGUGCUAAAUUGUUUCUCGUUUGUAAAAUCAACUUACUAUAACUGUGUGUGCACAUGCUUACCUACCUUAUUACUUUAAUGUUAGGUUUUAAAAGAUUGAUUGGAUAAAUUUAGGGCCGAACCGUUUGUUUUUUGUUCAUUAUUGUUUGACAGAUGCAAAAGCUGUCCAGGAAAGUAGGACUUCCAAUAAGAUAAGAGAAAAGUUUGUUUGUCUUUAAUAUCCAUUUUUGUUUCAUCUGUGUAUGGUAUGUAUGAAAAAUGCUGCGAGUUGUAAUUUGGACAUUAAUUUGAGUGAUCUCUGAAUUAGUGGUACGUUCCGUUUGCUUUUAUGAUGCAAUAUUUUCUUAACCCAUGUAUUUUCAUAUUACAAUUUAUGUAUGAAAAAAAUAUUGCAAUUUGUUGUGGCUUCCUAGUAUUUACUCAUCUCAUUACCAUGUGAUUGCUAGUUCACUAUAUUAUUACUUUUGUAUUAAAACAAUUAGAAAUUAAAACAAAUAGUAAUUAGUAAUUAAAACAAAUAGUAAUUGAAUGCAAAAGGCUCUUUUCUUCAGGAAAAAAGUAUUGCUGAGCAAUUUUACUUUUAGCAUGGUUGUCAGUUUCCGUCUUUGACAGAUACAACAAUGAUGUGUUAAAUCCUAGAAUGUUCUAUUGAGACAUGAGAACUUCAUGGCAUUUAGCUGAAAGUAAUAACUCUUAUAUGUGUGUCUAUGCCUUUGUAUUUUAUUCAUUGGCAGAUGUGUUGGAUAACAGAUGAAAAUUCAAUGAAUUAGCUAUCAGCUCUUUUUGUUUUCCCUGUUUGUCUUUCCUCAACAUCCAAAGACUUGUAUUUACCUACACAACUGAUUUAACAGUGACUGUUUUACCCCUUCAGCUGUGUCAUUUUGCAGUUUGGAUAUGAACAGAGUAAGCAUGUUUCAUUGUUAUAACUAUUGAAAUUAGUAAUGUUUACUUGCAAUGUAGGAUAGUAAAAGGAAAAUGGUAUAGUGGCUUUUUGUGUAAACGUUGUUGUCAGUAUUCUGGAAAAUGUGCUUUAUUUGUUUCUCACCAGAUAUUUAGAUGAUGAAAUUGGAAAGUGUCUUGGUACAUGUCACAGAUUGAAGAUAGGUAGGUUAUUGCUUUCGCAUAUUAAGGUAAAGAAAAUAUCAGUUGAUAGAUGCAAAAGCCCUCCAGGAAAAGUACGACCGCCAGUAAAAUUAAAGAAAAACUUUGUUUACAGUUAAUGUCCAUUUCUUUUUCACCUGUGUAUUGUAUGCUUGGAAAUAUAACUAUUAUAAAGAUAACUUUAAAUUUCACAUGUACAGAUUUUGUAUGUUCUAAUUUGCCUGUGUGAAGGUUUCAUCUCCUUUUUUUUUUUGUCCCUUGUAGUAUUUAUUUUUGCUUUGAGAUGAAGAUAGAUUUUGUUAUGAAAUUUUACUGUUCGGUUCAUGCCUGUUAUUGGUAAUAUUUUACAUUGCCUAUUCUGCCUUGGUUGCGUAAAUACUCUGUUCACAGAAAAAAACCUGACGGAAAUGUAUGAGGAUGUUGAAGACUGUUAAUAUUGUCAUGGAGUUACAUUCAGUGAAUUAGUGAUUGGAGACUAAUUCUGUUGGUAAGUCUGGAUUUUAUGUAUUCAGUGUAUGUGAAUCUCUCUACCCUUGAAGCACUUUUUCCUUUCUCCCUUUUUAGUGUUAAAUAUUUUGAGCAAAAUUUAGCUUCAUGCUGUGGAAUAUCAAAUGUUUGAUCUCAUUAGAAAAAAAAUCCCAAAGAAAAUGCUGUUGUGGAUACAUAAGCUUCGAAAAUUAGGGCUUUUGGUUUCAUUAACAAAGUAUUUAGAAAUGAUUUUCUUAUGAGGCUUCCUCAUUAAAUAAAGUUGCAAGAGGUUUGAGUUUUGCAUUAUCUUUUGUCUAGGAUGAAUAUAACAAAUAUGUACAGCAAUACAAAUAACCAAAGAAAUCAAGCUUUGAAAAGAGCCCUCCAUAAAUUAUGUCUCUGAAAGAAUAAAGAAAUCUUUACAAGAAAGGAAAGGUGUUUUGAGAGUAGGUUGAACAAUUGUUUAAAAGUUGCCCUGUACUGAUGUGAUCAAUCACUUGAAGUUAAUUAUGAUUUUGCAGCAAUAGAUUGGCAGUUAUGGCCUCCAGUGUCUUCUGGAUGAAUUUAAUAAUCGCACAUAAUGAUGGAAUGGCAAAAGAACUUGAGCUCAAAAUGAAUUCUCAUUAAAAUUGAAGUUUCCAAAUGAAAUAUUAUUCCAAAGGAAAAACAGUCAGAAAUUGAUAAAAUUAUCUGUUGAAAUUAAGAAGUUUUUCUUGUGAUCACAAGAAGCUCAUUAUCAUUAAAAUGUCAGUUAUUUCACUUGCUAAUUAAAUUGUGCUACUGAAACAAAAUUUAUGAAAUACAUUGUGAAUAUAUACAAACAAAAUAAUUGAGUGGUCUGGAAAUGAUAAUAACUCACAAACGUAAAAGAGAAACAUCAAAAAGUGCCAAACAAAUAUUUUAAUUUUAUUUUAUUUAUUGAAAUUGUACAAGUGAUGAAACUAUAUGAAAACUGAAAAAAUUGCAUUGGCAUAUUUACUUAUCAAAUCUUCUGUAGGCAUCUGGAUAGUGGUAAUAUACUCCAUGUUUGACAAAACACUGAUACUAUUAUGAAUAUAAUUGUCUGUGUUUUAAAUGGCUAUCAUGCAUCUAUAAAAAAAAAGAUUCAGAUGUAAUUAUUUAUCAAAUCUUAUGAAAAGCUUAAUAUGGCAAUGUCUACUGAAAACCACCCUUACAGAAUGAAAUAUAUUCUGCAGAGAGUAAUCUCCCCUAUCUUGUAUCAGUAAAAAUUUUUGUUUUAAGACAUUUACUAAUUAACAUCCAAAAUAAAUAGUGCUGUUUAUGAUGUAAAGAUAAUUUUUUAUGCUUAAAAAUACAAUUCUUGUAUUCUUUUGGUGGUUUUAGUCUUUGGUAUGUUUAUUUUUAUUGAUCUCUCCCAAGAUAACCAGGUGUAAGAUGUGACAAUCAAUGUGGGACAAACGAUAUUUUUGUCCAAUGCACUGACCCUAUCAUCCAAUGUCAGUAUACAUGCACAUAUAUAAUUUUGUUCAUGUUCUGUGGUGAUGUGGAUUAGACGGUUCAACAGUAUCUGAGGGGCCUGAGAUUCUCAGCUUAAGUGUGGUGUGUGUGUGUGUGUAUAUAUAUGUUACCAUGUGUGUAUCGUUGGCAAUUUUUUUCACUCCGUCUUCCCUUCCUUGGAUCUUUGCUUUUUCUAUGUUUCUGACGAAGAGCUCCGCUCGAAACAUUAAAUCCUCCUUUUUUUCCUUUCCUGAGCGUCCAAUAACACUAUACUUGUUCAACAUCCUCGCGUUGUGUUUUCUCUUUGAGUUAACUAUAUAAGUAACUUGCACGGACUCUGGAAAUACAUCUGCCAUCACCAGAGAAAACAAAGCAACUACCCCCAGCGACUUGCCUGACCUUUCAUUGGACAAAAGCUACCUACCUGCCAUUCUAAUGGACACUGGCUAAACAUCACUGCUGAUAUUUUUGUAUAAAUAGACAUCAUAAAUCGCUGUAAGAGCAGUUGGCUUUUUGGUAGUCGACUGAUGUAAAUCGUGUCCCUCUCGCCUGCCACGCUCGCCACUCACGCCGCCUCGAACCUUUGUACUGCUAUUUCACGCCUGAAAUAAAUUGCUGUAUAAACUUA